This 229-nucleotide long non-coding RNA is filed under the name Ananas comosus (pineapple). Its description in RNAcentral is "long non-coding RNA (ACOM_LNC038379)". Lineage: Eukaryota; Viridiplantae; Streptophyta; Magnoliopsida; Poales; Bromeliaceae. The record is from RNAcentral.
AGUAAGCUCCAAAGGAGUUGGAAGGGUUUUGAUAUCGAUCGGUGCGAAAUCGAAUCGAAACGAAUCGAAAAACAGCAUUCUGGAGCUGUUGUACCGGUACAAGAGUGAUGGCUGUACCGGUACAACCAUCACGGAGCAGUGUUACGGCGCUGUACCGGUACAAGGGGGCCUUGUACCGGUACAAAAUCCGCGAAACCGAGCGAGCAAGCUCUCGGUUUUGGCUGUCUGU